This 2936-nucleotide long non-coding RNA is filed under the name Prunus persica (peach). Its description in RNAcentral is "long non-coding RNA (PPER_LNC002700)". The record is from RNAcentral. Lineage: Eukaryota; Viridiplantae; Streptophyta; Magnoliopsida; Rosales; Rosaceae.
AUGGAGUUGAUUCGCAGCUCAUAGCAAAAGCUCAUGAAUACAUGGACUUGUUCUUUGGCAUGCAACUCUCACAGAAGCAAAGGGCUCAGAGAAAGACUGGUGACCACUGCGGAUAUGCCAGUAGCUUCAUUGGCAGGUUCUCCUCCAAACUUCCAUGGAAAGAAACACUUUCUUUCAGAUAUAGUGCUGACAGCCACUGCUCAGUCAAUGACUAUUUUGUGAAUGUAAUGGGUGAAGAUUUCAAAGAAAUCGGGUAAGAACACAUAAUCAAGAGUAUAAUGUUGUGCUUCUGCAAUAAAAGAAAUAUAUCUACUCAAACUAAUUUCAUGAUCUCUAUAAGUGGAUUAUGUCAUCACUAAUCACUAAACCAACAAAUAAUCAUCAUGAUCUCAUACAUUACCAAUAGCCCUUUACUUAUGCAGCAUAUUUUUUCCCUGCUAGGAAGGUGUACCAAGAAUACUGUGAAGCCGUGAGCAAUCUCUCCAGUGGGAUAAUGGAGCUGCUGGGAAUGAGCUUAGGAGUUGGCCAAGAGUAUUUCAGAGAAUUCUUCGAAGGAAACGAUUCAAUAAUGAGGUUGAACUACUAUCCCAGAUGCCAAAAACCAGAUUUAACACUAGGAACUGGGCCUCACUGUGAUCCCACUUCCUUAACAAUUCUUCAUCAAGAUCAAGUAGGCGGCCUUCAAGUGUUUGUAGAUGAAAAGUGGCGCUCUGUUACUCCUAAGCCUGAUGCUUUUGUUGUCAACAUUGGUGAUACAUUUAUGGUAAGUUAUUUCAUUUAUGAAUUAGGCUCAGUUUGUUUAGACAGAAAAUCUUUUUCGUUUUUCCCCCUACGAAAAGUCUACAAGACUCCAACAUGUGGGACAAAAACAGGACCUUCAGAAGACUUUCUACACAAAAUAUGAGGCAUUCUUUAUGGAUUUGAAUAUAUGCUUUCUCUGAUGUGAUUUUUCAGGCUCUAUCCAAUGGGAUUUACAAGAGCUGCUUGCAUAGAGCAGUGGUUAACAACAGAACUGUGAGGAAAUCUCUUACUUUCUUCCUUUGUCCCAAAAAGGACAGGGUGGUGACCCCACCAAGAGGUUUGGUUGAUUCCAAGAGCCCAAGGAUGUACCCGGACUUUACCUGGCCGACUUUGCUAGAGUUUACACAGAAACACUACCGGGCUGACAUGAAGACGCUGGAUGCCUUCUCAGACUGGAUUAUAAAUAAAAACAACUAACCAUGAAAGAAGCACCAGGAAAAGUAGGUGUACGUAAUGCUUUGGUGGGUGUUCAUGGGAAAAGAUGACAGAAACACCAAGAAGGGAGGAGAGGGAACUAGGCUGUUAACUAGUGUGUCAUCGUCGGAGAGAAUCAUGUCAGUUUGGAGGCAUAAAUAAGUUAAGGGGCUCCAUAUCUUCUUAAUUUUACUUUUCUGUCAAUUCAACAAUGAAUCAUUGUAAUUAUAAUAUAUACUUUGUUGACCACCAAGCUGUGUUGUUAUUGGACUUCCAUAAACUAUUCUAAUUAAUAUCUGCAUGUACAGCCGUCAACUUCCAAAGAAAUUAUGCCUCUCAGCUUGAUAUCAAAGUAAAGGAACAAAUAGAUAGUAUUAUUAAAAUCUAGAACAAUGUAUACUUUACUAUAUCUUAAUUACUAUGAGAAAUUAUAUGCAGGGUGAGGUUUUUCUCAUUUCAUCCUCACAAGUAUCGACAGUGACGUGAGUUUUAACAACUAGGGUAAUGUCCUUUGCUUAAGAUGCACAAAGUUUUAAUAUAUAAAUUGGUGUGCAUCUUUGCUUUUUACUACUUCAACAAAAAGUGAAAAAUAGUUUUUAGGUAAACAUUAAAGAAAUACUUGUAAAGAGAACAUAAGGAUUAGAAUUAGAUUCACAACCAAGCACUAUAACUAUUUUAUAUUAGGUUUUUCUAGUUUUAAUAUUAUCAGUUAUAUCUGUCUAGUUCAGCAACAUUGCAAUGGAGCUCAAAAUCAAUUCUUUGUCAAAUCAAUUGAAAGAACUACCAUUUGUUGGUAACAUGAAAGGUUACUAAAUUUUGCUAAAUCCUGAGUAUAAUCUUAUUACUAUUGCACAUGUUUACUUACCGGAAAUGGAGGAAGCCAUGAAUCAGGGAAUUUAGAUAAGAGAAUCAAGGUAUUGGAACCGGAUCAACUACUCCCCCUAGUUGAUACCAUUCCCGAUUUUGAGGGUAUUUAAUUACGAAUUUUACUGUGGAAUUCGCAUAAUAUUUUAUUCCUUGCUUGUUAGUAAACGCGGAAAAUCAGGAAUUGGAAUCAUUCCAAUAUGCAUGCGUUAGUAAACAGAGGAGAAGCAUAUAUUGGAUUCAUUCCAAUACCCAUUUCUGAUAAGUAAACAUUCCAAAGACCCUUUGUUAAAUAAAACUGUUAGAAGACUACAUAAAUGUAAUUAAGACAUAUUUUUAUUAGCCUAAUUUUAGCCAUAAUUUUUUUUAGUAAAAAGAAAACACCAACUACAAAAAAAAAAUUUAAAUAAAUAAAAUAUUUUUUAAAAAAACCAACAACAACAACAAUUGGAAAGCAAAGCAUUACCAGAACAUCCAUGGCUGAAACACCAAGAAUUGGGAAGAGCUCACCCCAUGUCAGCUGCUGAGUACCCACGAAAACCCAAGAGCUUGAAGCCUCAGACAACAACAAAGUGAAAAGGUUGAAGCAAUUCCUCAGUUGCCCAACUGAAAACCAUCAAAUUGAAGCCAAUGCGUGAAGGACCAAAGAUAGGCCAAGGCGUAGCGAAGCAGAGUGUGGAGGUCAAGCUUGUGAGCUUAAGGGCUGGAGUGGAUGUCAAACUUGAGAGAGAACGAUCGGGUUUUGUGAGGGAGAUUUUAAAAAUAAAACAAAAUGAAAAAGGCCAAUAUUUUACUUCUUACUUUUUCAAAACCAUUUUUUUAAUGUCUGCCCAAAUAUGGUUUUGAAUACCUUUUGC